ACGGGGCGCAGCAGGCGCGAAAACUUUGCAAUGUGCGAAAGCACGACAAGGUUAAUCCGAGUGGUUUCUGCUAAAGGAACCUUUUGUUAGUCCUAGAAACACUAACGAAUAAGGGGUGGGCAAGUUCUGGUGUCAGCCGCCGCGGUAAAACCAGCACCUCAAGUGGUCAGGAUGAUUAUUGGGCCUAAAGCAUCCGUAGCCGGCUCUGUAAGUUUUCGGUUAAAUCUGUACGCUUAACGUACAGGCUGCCGGGAAUACUGCAUAGCUAGGGAGUGGGAGAGGUAGACGGUACUCGGUAGGAAGGGGUAAAAUCCUUUGAUCUAUUGAUGACCACCUGUGGCGAAGGCGGUCUACCAGAACACGUCCGACGGUGAGGGAUGAAAGCUGGGGGAGCAAACCGGAUUAGAUACCCGGGUAGUCCCAGCUGUAAACUAUGCAAACUCAGUGAUGCAUUGGCUUGUGGCCAAUGCAGUGCUGCAGGGAAGCCGUUAAGUUUGCCGCCUGGAAGUACGUACGCAAGU
Molecule: ribosomal RNA, 521 nt
Filed under: uncultured archaeon
Lineage: Archaea
Description: bacterial SSU rRNA
Rfam family: Archaeal small subunit ribosomal RNA
Source: RNAcentral